UACAUAUAUUCACACUCUUUCCACUCCUCUCUGGAUAUUUACACACAAAAUACAUACAGAAGCUGAAAUCAAAAGAAAAAUUCUUAGAAUUCAAGUCUCAAACAAAAACAGAUUUGAAAACAAAAAAAAGGGAACGAAGAAGUUUUUUAAAAUCUGGGUUUCGAAAAGGCUUUAGGAGUGCCAUUGCUGCUGUUCUUUGCUUGGUUGCUGUUGUUUCCUGAAUCUGCUGAGCUUUAUUCUUCAAUUUUUGCCUUUAUUUGGCCAUUGCGAGCUUUGUGCUCAAGCUUAGAUCUAUGGAAAUUGGGUUCAAGUUUGUCCAUGUCAGUCUGUCUGUUUUCGUUUUGGACAUUGAUGUUGAAAGCUGAAAGAGGAACGCCAUACCUGUAGAACCAAAAGCAUGAAGAGAUAUAGAUUAAUUAAUUGCAGUCUAUUUGCUAUUACAUUGUUUAAUUCCAGAAUUAUAGGAUGUUAGUUCCCAGAAGCAUUUAUCAUCACAAAUUCAAGACCACGAUUUCUAAUGUAAUGAUUUGGCGUUGUAACUUUAAAUCUGGAUGAACGUGUACUCAUGCUUA
Molecule: long non-coding RNA, 572 nt
Organism: Nicotiana tabacum (common tobacco)
Lineage: Eukaryota; Viridiplantae; Streptophyta; Magnoliopsida; Solanales; Solanaceae
Source: RefSeq, a predicted model, not a curated record